GGCUUAAAACUCAACAUUCAGAAAACUAAGAUCAUGGCAUCUGGUUUCAUCACUUCAUGGCAAAUAAAUGGGGAAACAACAGAAACAGAGACUUUAUUUUUGUGGGGCUCCAGAAUCACUGCAGAUGGUGACUGUAGCCAUGAAAUUAAAAGACUCUUGCGCCUUGGAAGAAAAACUAUGACCAACCUAGACUGAGCGACUGAACUGAACUGUUGCAGCAGCGAUGGGAACACGCGAGAACUACUUUCUGUGCUGGUAUGGCGGAGCGUCCAUGAGAAGAUGUGUGUGAAGGGCCCACAGUGUGGGUGGCCGUAAUUAUUGACCUUGGUGGCUGGCAACCGGCUCUGGAUGACCCCCGUACCCUGUGGGGACUCAUGAAGGGGCCUCCCUCCUACAGCAGUGAACCGAGACCCCGAGUGUAACUCCAGGUGGGCCUCACUAAGGAGAACGCAGAUGUGUUGGUGGAUGUUUAAAUGGGGGAGUGUGGAGUCGGAUCUCUAGACUGGGUGCUCGGAGGUGAUGGCUCUCGGCGCAGCCUGGCUAGGAGAGAGGGGGAGGUGGUUUCUCAUCUGCAAAUUGGAUGGAGACAAGGCCCACCUCCCCAGGCUUGCUAAGAGGUGCACGACUUGGCCUCUAAAAUUCAAGCUGCGGCUUGCAGGAUCCACAAUGCACCAUGAGGGGUCUUUCGUUGCGUGCGUGGGGGCUUCUCUACUUGUGGUUCUCAGGCUCCAGAGCACGGGCUCAGCAGAUAUGUACAACCAUCACCACUAUCAGUGUGAGAACAUCUUCAACAUCUCAAAAAGAAACCUGGUACCCAUGAACUACCAGCCCUCCUAGCCUCCUCCCCCCACCUCCAGACACCACCAUCUGCUUUCUGUCCCCUGGAGUUCCCUAUCUGGACUUUCACAUGAGUGGAAUCGUGGAAUACGUGGCCUUUUGUAUCUUGCUGCUUUAGCUUUUCAAGGUUCAUCCAUGUCCUGGCC
Molecule: long non-coding RNA, 983 nt
Organism: Bos taurus (domestic cattle)
Lineage: Eukaryota; Metazoa; Chordata; Mammalia; Artiodactyla; Bovidae
Source: Ensembl